AGUGCCCCUGUCCCCACCGAGGGGACUAUGGGAGCCAUGGAGGGUGCGUGAGCAGCAGGUGAGACUGGAGCCAGCUGAAAACUGGGAGACCGACCCAGCCAACAAACAAUGUCGGUCUCUGUCCUGGCACCCGCAGGAAACAAGCUCCUACUUCCAGAAAAAGUGCUCCUGGGACUCAAGGAUACCAAGCAUCUGGCAUUUCCGGCGGAAGUUGCUGGGCGUGGAAAGCCGGCAAGCCCUUUUUUCCGCCAUCGUCGCUCACGCGCGCAACCCUGGCGACGCGUGGUGCCGUGGCUCCGCCUCCCCAUGCCAUUGGCCAGCAGCUCCUCGGGCACGCGUAUACUGCGCUUCCGGGCAAUCUCCGCCCCGCAUGGCCUUCUGGGAGUUGUAGUUCGAUCGCGAGCGCUGCCGUCGGGAGGCUGCUCCGAGGUUCGAGGCUGUGCCCCGCGACCCCGCCUUCGGCGCUCGGCUC
Molecule: small RNA, 472 nt
Filed under: Pongo abelii (Sumatran orangutan)
Lineage: Eukaryota; Metazoa; Chordata; Mammalia; Primates; Hominidae
Description: processed transcript
Source: RNAcentral